Molecule: ribosomal RNA, 253 nt
Filed under: uncultured prokaryote
Description: partial 16S ribosomal RNA
Rfam family: Bacterial small subunit ribosomal RNA
Source: RNAcentral
UACGUAGGGUGCGAGCGUUAAUCGGAAUUACUGGGCGUAAAGCGUGCGCAGGCGGUUUUGUAAGACCGAUGUGAAAUCCCCGGGCUCAACCUGGGAACUGCAUUGGUGACUGCAAGGCUUGAGUGUGUCAGAGGGAGUUGGAAUUCCGCGUGUAGCAGUGAAAUGCGUAGAUAUGCGGAGGAACACCGAUGGCGAAGGCCGCCUCCUGGGAUAACACUGACGCUCAUGCACGAAAGCGUGGGGCGCAAUCAGG